GAUGAAGAACGCAGCGAAAUGCGAUAAGUAAUGUGAAUUGCAGAAUUCAGUGAAUCAUCGAAUCUUUGAACGCACAUUGCGCCCGCCAGUAUUCUGGCGGGCAUGCCUGUCCGAGCGUCAUUUCAACCCUCGAACCCCUCCGGGGGGUCGGCGUUGGGGACUUCGGGAACCCCUAAGACGGGAUCCCGGCCCCGAAAUACAGUGGCGGUCUCGCCGCAGCCUCUCCUGCGCAGUAGUUUGCACAACUCGCACCGGGAGCGCGGCGCGUCCACGUCCGUAAAACACCCAACUUUCUGAAAUGUUGACCUCGGAUCAGGUAGGAAUACCCGCUGAACUUAAGCAUAUCAAUAAGCGGAGGA
This 359-nucleotide unclassified non-coding RNA is filed under the name soil metagenome. Its description in RNAcentral is "partial contains 5.8S ribosomal RNA, internal transcribed spacer 2, and large subunit ribosomal RNA". The stretch from base 1 to 120 matches the Rfam family "5.8S ribosomal RNA", at positions 35 to 154 of the family's 154-position model. The record is from RNAcentral.